GACCUAACUCCGCCUGUAGCUUCUCCGGGGCCUACUGCCGGUCCCAAGCCCGGGUAUAGGAGGAGGGUUGGGC
This is a non-coding RNA of Schistosoma mansoni, 73 nucleotides long. NCBI's taxonomy places the organism in Eukaryota, Metazoa, Platyhelminthes, Trematoda, Strigeidida, Schistosomatidae. The record is from Rfam.